Molecule: transfer RNA, 55 nt
Filed under: Escherichia coli
Lineage: Bacteria; Pseudomonadati; Pseudomonadota; Gammaproteobacteria; Enterobacterales; Enterobacteriaceae
Also listed under: 11 other names
Description: tRNA-Xxx
Rfam family: tRNA
About the family: Transfer RNA (tRNA) molecules are approximately 80 nucleotides in length. Their secondary structure includes four short double-helical elements and three loops (D, anti-codon, and T loops).
Source: RNAcentral
GAGCAGUUGACUUUUAAUCAAUUGGUCGCAGGUUCGAAUCCUGCACGACCCACCA